CUCGUAGGCGGUCCGUUGCGUCUGCCGUGAAAACCCGGAGCUCAACUCCGGGCCUGCGGUGGAUACGGGCGGACUAGAGUCCGGUAGGGGAGACUGGAAUUCCUGGUGUAGCGGUGGAAUGCGCAGAUAUCAGGAGGAACACCGGUGGCGAAGGCGGGUCUCUGGGCCGGAACUGACGCUGAGAAGCGAAAGCGUGGGGAGCGAACA
RNAcentral lists this ribosomal RNA (207 nucleotides) under uncultured bacterium. RNAcentral's name for it is "partial 16S ribosomal RNA". It matches the Rfam family "Bacterial small subunit ribosomal RNA", at positions 568 to 774 of the family's 1533-position model. The record is from RNAcentral.